GCGCACUAAGGUGAAAUGUGGUCAUUUAAAAAAAUUGCGCUUUUCAUGUAGCACCUGUCUGGAUGUUUGGACGACAGAAAACGUCCCAAAAACACCCAUAAUGACAUGUUUGUAUGCGCUUCGACAAGUUGAAAAAUACCACAAGAAGUGAGGCAUAUUUUGAGUUGUGUGUUUGAGACAAUCCAUCCAUCAAGGAGAGCUCAGAGUUCCAAGCCACACAUUGAUUGUCAUCCUCAUAAAGGUAUUUGUUGCUGUCGUUCUGGUAUUUCUAAAGAUAUCAACCACAAAACUGAGGGAUGCUCCGCACCAUGAAUCAGGAUUCAUCUUAAAAUGUGUUCGUCCACCACCGUCAUGAAGAUGUCAAGAGAUCACCAGUAUUAAGCUCAUAGUGAUCUGAAUAUGAUGUAUAACUCAGAAGAACCAACUGCGAGGUGGCAUAACAACUGCAUCUCCUAAGGACCCCAUGCCAUCCAUGAAGCACUACCUAAGUCAACAGUGUCAGUUUGUAAGCAAGGCCUGAAUGAACCAACCCAGGGAGAUUCAAGCUCCACUGAAUGGAGGGCUGACACCCAUUUUGCAGCCCUGGAACUAUCAACAUGUGAAGCAAUUGUUAAGAUGAUUUAAUGAACACAAGUCAUGUUUCUAGUUUAGGUUGCCUUGUAAACUGCUUGUGAAUUUAUAAAAUUUUGCCCGAAAAUGCAACAAAAUGCAGCAUAAUGCAUUGCAUUUU
Long non-coding RNA from Asterias rubens (European starfish), 730 nucleotides. RefSeq lists it as uncharacterized. Lineage: Eukaryota; Metazoa; Echinodermata; Asteroidea; Forcipulatida; Asteriidae. The record is from RefSeq and is a predicted model, not a curated record. The transcript is spliced from 5 exons.